CCUGUAAUUUCUGGUUUACUCCAGAGUAAGAAGAUGUAGCUGAUUUUAUAUUAAGGAUGGCAAGAAUUCUGAAUUCAAAUUCUGCCUGGCAGUCUAAGAAUUCUAGAGGGUGAGAGAAUGAUUCCCAGUGCCAGAGAAAGGGGCAAAGUUCUUUAUUAUUGCAGUAACCGGAGCUGUUCCCCCUUUCAUUUCUAAUGAUUUUUCAUUUCUAUUACUCCAGGUUCAGAAUUCCAUGACCACCCCAACAAACUCUAUGGACUUCAAAAGAAGAGAGGUGGAUCUGGCUGGUGACUUACUGUGAGCAGGCCUGGGCACCAGUUUGAUCCUGGAAUUUGAGUUUGGAGGAGCUCCCUCAGACAGCUUCCUUGAGAAGGUCUCGUGGUGAGUGAUGACCGACUUCCUUUUCAGGGGAAGUCCCUUUGGCCAAGACCUUUAACUCCUGCCUGGCUCAGCCUGAGCCAGAGCAAUUUAAAUUAAUUCUUUCCUCUCUCUCUCUCUUUCUUAAUUUCUUUCCUCUAUAUUAAUUAAAAUCACCAUAACUUCUAGCUGAAUUGGCUAUUUUAUUAUUUGGGAUAUCCCAUGGUGACCAAUAAUUAAAUAUAUUUUAGGUCACAAUGCUAAAAUUAUCCUUUACAAUCACCACUUACCUGGCCUAUCUAAUGGACCUCUAAUUGCUAUCCAGCCUCUUUUCUCUCUAAUCCAUCCUCUAUAAUACUAUCAAACUGAGAAUCCUAAGGCAUAGGUCUCGCCAGUAACUCCCUGCUCCAGAAACUCCCAUGUCCCUCUUGCCUUUAAGAUAAAAUGCAAAUUCCUUUGUUUAGUUUUUAAGGCCUUUCACAAUCUGGUCCCAAUUUGUCCAAGAUGACAGAUUCUUUUGGAUAUCAAGGGUCCCUUUGGCAAUCUGGCAAAGCCUAUGGACCCUUUUUUCAUAAGAUUAAUUUUAAAAAAUAACAUGUAGGAUUACAAAGGGAAAAAAUAAUAUUGAAACAUAGUAAUCAAAAUAUUUUUUAAAUCAAGUUCAUAGAUCCCAGAUUAAGAAUUUCAUAGAACUUACUCUCAUGUACAGUAAUCUAUGUUCCAGUCAAAUUAGCCCACU
RNAcentral lists this long non-coding RNA (1096 nucleotides) under Monodelphis domestica (gray short-tailed opossum). RNAcentral describes it as "lncRNA (ENSMODG00000048167.1)". Lineage: Eukaryota; Metazoa; Chordata; Mammalia; Didelphimorphia; Didelphidae. The record is from RNAcentral.